AUUGAACGCUGGCGGCAGGCCUAACACAUGCAAGUCGAACGGUAACAGAAAGCAGCUUGCUGCUUUGCUGACGAGUGGCGGACGGGUGAGUAAUGUCUGGGAAACUGCCUGAUGGAGGGGGAUAACUACUGGAAACGGUAGCUAAUACCGCAUAACGUCGCAAGACCAAAGAGGGGGACCUUCGGGCCUCUUGCCAUCGGAUGUGCCCAGAUGGGAUUAGCUUGUUGGUGGGGUAACGGCUCACCAAGGCGACGAUCCCUAGCUGGUCUGAGAGGAUGACCAGCCACACUGGAACUGAGACACGGUCCAGACUCCUACGGGAGGCAGCAGUGGGGAAUAUUGCACAAUGGGCGCAAGCCUGAUGCAGCCAUGCCGCGUGUAUGAAGAAGGCCUUCGGGUUGUAAAGUACUUUCAGCGGGGGAAGAAUGGA
RNAcentral lists this ribosomal RNA (430 nucleotides) under uncultured Shigella clone MT19. RNAcentral describes it as "bacterial SSU rRNA". It matches the Rfam family "Bacterial small subunit ribosomal RNA", at positions 30 to 453 of the family's 1533-position model. Lineage: Bacteria; Pseudomonadati; Pseudomonadota; Gammaproteobacteria; Enterobacterales; Enterobacteriaceae. The record is from RNAcentral.